GUUUGAUCAUGGCUCAGAUUGAACGCUGGCGGCAUGCCUAACACAUGCAAGUCGAACGGUAACGCGGGAGCUUGCUCCUGGCGACGAGUGGCGGACGGGUGAGUAACGCGUAGGAAUCUGCCUGGUAGCGGAGGACAACUCGGGGAAACUCGAGCUAAUACUGCAUACGCCCUACGGGGGAAAGCGGGGGAUCUUCGGACCUCGCACUAUCAGAUGAGCCUGCGUCCAAUUAGCUUGUUGGUGAGGUAACGGCUCACCAAGGCGACGAUUGGUAGCUGGUCUGAGAGGAUGAUCAGCCACACUGGGACUGAGACACGGCCCAGACUCCUACGGGAGGCAGCAGUGGGGAAUAUUGGACAAUGGGGGAAACCCUGAUCCAGCAAUGCCGCGUGUGUGAAGAAGGCCUGCGGGUUGUAAAGCACUUUCAGUAGGGAAGAAAAGCCGACGGUUAAUAACCUUCGGUCUUGACAUCACCUACAGAAGAAGCACCGGCUAACUCCGUGCCAGCAGCCGCGGUAAUACGGAGGGGGCUAGCGUUGUUCGGAAAUUACUGGGCGUAAAGCGCGCGUAGGCGGAUUGGAAAGUUGGGGGUGAAAUCCCGGGGCUCAACCCCGGAACUGC
This 621-nucleotide ribosomal RNA is filed under the name uncultured bacterium. Its description in RNAcentral is "bacterial SSU rRNA". It matches the Rfam family "Bacterial small subunit ribosomal RNA", at positions 11 to 624 of the family's 1533-position model. The record is from RNAcentral.